UCUCAUCACUUGCACACUACCUCACAUACAUUUUUCUUCUCUCUACACUCUCUAGAUUUUCUUUCUAUAGGAAGACUAGUAAGGCUAGCACUUUCUUCCUCUUUUUAUAUUUUUUUAAAAUUGUCUUUAUAUUUCAUUCAUACAUUGCUUCUUUACUUAUUCAUAUAUAUUGUCUAUACAUUUAUUUGCUUGCAUUGUCUUUAUAUUUUUUUUAUAUACAUUGCCUUUAUAUUUAUUUAUCUAUAUUUUUUUUACAUUUAUUUAUAUACAUUGUGUCUUUAAAUUUCUUCAUAUAUUGUUUCUAUAUUUUUGUAUUCUCUAUACAUUUUUCUUUACAUUUUACAUACAUUUUCCUUACGCUCUCCACACUUUUCCUUUAUAUUAUCUUACAUCUAUCUAUUCUUUUAUAUAUUUUUUAUACAAAUACGUUAUAUACAUAUACAUGUACAUAUUUACAUUACUUAACUACUAAGAAAAGAAGAGAGAAACUUUUCAUUAAAAGAAAUGCACUUAUUGUCUCUACAAUUUUUAUGCAUUAUCUUUUGCUAUAUUGUCUCUACAACUUUAUUUAUUUUCAAUACAUGUAUACAUUGUCAAGUAUUUUCUUUACACUUUUGUCAAUACCAUCACACUACAUGCCUAUUUUAUAUAUAUAUAUUUUGCUAUUUACAUUUACUCUACAUUGGCUAUACAUCAUAUUUAUGUUUACCUAUAUUUUCAUUUGUAUUCUUAUGUUCUUUUUACAUACAUCAUUCACCAAUACAUUUGUUACAUUACAUACACUACACUAAUCCUAGGGGCAAAUUAAGUUUCAUCAUUAUUUUGUCAAAUCACUUUUUCAAAAACUUUAUGUCAAAUCAUCUUUUCAAUAACUUUUUGUCAAACUACUUUUUCAAGGACUUUGGUCACAUUACUUUUUCAAAGAAUCUUUAUCAAAUCACUUUUUAAAGACUUUAUGUCACAUACCUUACUUUUUGACUUUUUCAUUUUUUUUUAACUAAUACUUUUUCUUUCAUCUUGCAAUUUAUUACAAAUACUACACUUUUGGCCAAUGAAGAAAUUUCCGUCGAUUUCCAAGGCCUCCCCUGUACAAAAGACGGGUUUUUAUGUUAAGUUUAUUCAUUAUUUCUUUAAUUCAUUCGAUAGUUAUUUAUUCUCUUACUAACACUUUUACUAAGUGUUUAUACAGGUACCCGGAGACACAUCCCGAAGACGACACUCGGAAGGAACUCGAAGACUUCAUCGAAUCCUUAUACACUUUUAUACUUACGAGGUUUAUGUGAUGAAGAGGGAUUUGGUGAAGAUCUAAUCAAAUAUGGAAAAGAAGAUAUUACAAGAUGGAAUUACGGAAGAAGAUGUGGAAGAAAAAUACUUACUCAAAUCAAGGUGCAAGAACUAUGGAAAAAAUAUUUACUACGAUUCUAUGGAAGAAAAAUAUUCUACAAAAAGAAAUAUCAAGAUCAAUUUGUUGCUUAAGGAAGAUCCAAAAUCUAUGGAGUAUCAAGAUGUCUCAAGUUUACAAAAGUGUCCACAUUCAGAGUUAUCAAAGUCCAAAUUCAAGAAGAUGAAUGUGAUUACAUUCAAAAUAAUAUAAAGAUCCAAAGUGAAAUGAAGAGAAUCUUGAAAUUCUCUUGGGUUGUUUAAAUAAGAGCUCAAAUUUAUAUAGCCAGAAGAACACUUCGACAAGCAAUGACGAUAUAUUCAGCAAGAAUAAAUCAUGAAGAUUGGUACUGCACCAAAGAAGGAAAGGCUCCAAUCCAAAGAGAGACUGGUACUGGAUUAAAAAAGGAAGGUCUAUAAAAGUUGAAAAUUAUGAGUCAAUGAUGUGAACAUUAUUUUAUUAUUCCAUAAAGGGAUCAGAUUUGUAUAUGGCAAAGGAAGGAUCCGUUCUUAAAAUAUUUAAUUGAAGAGAGAAAGGAAAUUAUAUUCUUUUAUGUAUUUUCCUAUUAUGAUCAACAAAGUGGAGAUCUCCUCUAUACUAUCACUGGCGUCAAAAAUUAUGAAAGAGGAUAUAAGGAAAGCCUUGUUUUACGUGAGACAAAUAAGAGAAAAUAUUCUCUAUGUUACAAA
Lycium barbarum (goji berry) is the source of this 2070-nucleotide long non-coding RNA. RefSeq lists it as uncharacterized. NCBI's taxonomy places the organism in Eukaryota, Viridiplantae, Streptophyta, Magnoliopsida, Solanales, Solanaceae. The record is from RefSeq and is a predicted model, not a curated record. The transcript has 2 exons.